UUUUUCUUUAAAUCUACUCUCCUUGCUUCUAUUUCUCUUUUUUUUCACUAUCUAUUCUCGAGCUUUGACUGACUUAAGUAUCGAAGGAUCCUAAAUUAAAGGAUCCUCUCAUUAAUUUUAGGACUUUUUUUGCAGAUCUUUGGUAGGCUUUAGCAUUUUGAUUUUCUGCAGUAUUCCAGCUCGGUUCUUGAUCGACCUCGUCAUCUUAGCCC
This 212-nucleotide long non-coding RNA is filed under the name Elaeis guineensis (African oil palm). RNAcentral describes it as "long non-coding RNA (EGUI_LNC023506)". The record is from RNAcentral. Lineage: Eukaryota; Viridiplantae; Streptophyta; Magnoliopsida; Arecales; Arecaceae.